UAUGGUGCUUUAACUGACUAUCAGGUGCACAAUUACUGUACUUUAUUCAUUGAUUGUGAAUCUUUUGAUAGAUUUUUUUAUACAAUUAAUUUUAUCUUAAUAGUGUCUUUCAUCUAUGUGGUGUAAUUCUUGUGAUCUAGUUUGUUCAUUGACAGGAGAGUUGCUAUGACAUCAUUUCUGGCACAGAAAUUGAUAUAGCAAAAUAUAGUGAUGCAUAUUUGGGCUUUUUCUUUUCGUGUAUAAUAUAGCUAUGUAUGUAGAGGCUUACUAACAAAUCUCCAUCGUUUUAAUAUGUGAGCUUCUGCGACAUCAUAGUCCAAACACAGCACAAAAGCAAAUGUUGGACCAGUAUUUAGAAAUUGAUCAGAAUUCUUUUUUUCUCCCUAUUUUGGCGUAUCAGUAGUCUGUAUUCUCUCUCCGAGUCAUCCACCAAAGAUAAACCCAACCUUGAAAGGUGUUGAGUUCAAGUCCAAAUAUUCUCAAGUCAAAUUUGAAUAAUUUGCAAUUCAAGUUGAAGUUGCUGAAUCAAUUAUGUUUGUGAUUUCACAUCAAGCAUUCUCUUGUCCUCCUCCAUUGAACUUGAUCUUUCCCAUGACUUUUGCCCUAGUGAGUAAUGUCACUAGAUAGGGCAAGUAGAUUUUAACGGAUUGAUUUCUUUGGCAUAGUUGUUGGAGUUACUGUUGAGAAAAUCGCCUCCUGAAACGUAUUAGUUAGAGUGUAUUAAAUUAGUUUAAAAUUAAAUUUGACAUGUUUAAGUCAUAAGAAUACCAAAACAACUAAACGGUUUUUCUCAACAGCAGUUAGAAUGAUGCUUUUUCAAAAAAUGCUUUUUUUAACCACCCAACUGCAACCCCAAACAGAUACGUGUCAUGGGACUAGGAGUUUCUUUGAUUAAUUCUAGUGGCAAUAUUCCUCAAGUAUUAGCUGUGUGAUUUUUCCUCCUUUAUAUAACCCAAGCCAUUAAUUUUUUGUGCAGUUCAUGCGAGCACGUGCCCGU
This 997-nucleotide unclassified non-coding RNA is filed under the name Hevea brasiliensis (rubber tree). Lineage: Eukaryota; Viridiplantae; Streptophyta; Magnoliopsida; Malpighiales; Euphorbiaceae. The record is from RNAcentral.